UGGGGAAUAUUGCACAAUGGGCGCAAGCCUGAUGCAGCCAUGCCGCGUGUGUGAAGAAGGCCUUCGGGUUGUAAAGCACUUUCAGCGAGGAGGAAGGGUAGUGUGUUAAUAGCACAUUGCAUUGACGUUACUCGCAGAAGAAGCACCGGCUAACUCCGUGCCAGCAGCCGCGGUAAUACGGAGGGUGCAAGCGUUAAUCGGAAUUACUGGGCGUAAAGCGCACGCAGGCGGUUUGUUAAGUCAGAUGUGAAAUCCCCGCGCUUAACGUGGGAACUGCAUUUGAAACUGGCAAGCUAGAGUCUUGUAGAGGGGGGUAGAAUUCCAGGUGUGGCGGUGAAAUGCGUAGAGAUCUGGAGGAAUACCGGUGGCGAAGGCGGCCCCCUGGACAAAGACUGACGCUCAGGUGCGAAAGCGUGGGGAGCAAACA
This 427-nucleotide ribosomal RNA is filed under the name uncultured bacterium. RNAcentral's name for it is "partial 16S ribosomal RNA". It matches the Rfam family "Bacterial small subunit ribosomal RNA", at positions 355 to 774 of the family's 1533-position model. The record is from RNAcentral.